CCUACGGGCGGGCAGCAGUGAGGAAUAUUGGUCAAUGGACGAGAGUCUGAACCAGCCAAGUAGCGUGAAGGAUGACUGCCCUAUGGGGUGUAAACUUCUUUUAUAUGGGAAUAAAAUGUUCCACGUGUGGGAUAUUGUAUGUACCAUAUGAAUAAGGAUCGGCUAAGUCCGUGCCAGCAGACGCGGUAAUACGGAGGAUUCGAGCGUUAUCCGGAUUUAUUGGGUUUAAAGGGAGCGUAGGUGGAUGGUUAAGUCAGUUGUGAAAGUUUGCGGCUCAACCGUAAAAUUGCAGUUGAAACUGGCAGUCUUGAGUGCAGUAGAGGUAGGCGGAAUUCGUGGUGUAGCGGUGAAAUGCUUAGAUAUCACGAAGAACUCCAGUUGCGAAGGCAGUUCACUGGACUGCAACUGACACUGAGGCUCGAAAGUGUGGGUAUCAAACAGGAUUAGAGACCCCAGUAGUC
This 461-nucleotide ribosomal RNA is filed under the name uncultured bacterium. RNAcentral describes it as "partial 16S ribosomal RNA". It matches the Rfam family "Bacterial small subunit ribosomal RNA", at positions 338 to 795 of the family's 1533-position model. The record is from RNAcentral.